Molecule: long non-coding RNA, 1009 nt
Organism: Girardinichthys multiradiatus
Lineage: Eukaryota; Metazoa; Chordata; Actinopteri; Cyprinodontiformes; Goodeidae
Exons: 2
Source: RefSeq, a predicted model, not a curated record
UUAGGUGGGGACUUCCUAUCAGGAAAAUGACAGAACAUCCCAGAACAUUUGAUGUCCAACAAGUGUUGUACAGUGCAUCCAAAAAUUAUUCACUGCCUUUGCCAUGAAGGUCAAAAUUGAGCUGAGGUGCAUACCGUUUCCACUGAUCAUCCCUGAGAUGUUUCUACAGCUUAAACCGAGUCCACCUGUGGUAAAUUGGGCUGAUUGGACAUGAUUAGGAGAGGCACACAUAGUGCAUGUCAGAGCGCAAAGCGUGAAGUUUAAGCAAUUAUCUGUAGACCUCAGAGUCUGGAUGGAGGCCCAAAUCUGGGGGAGGAGACAGAACAAUUUCUGCUGCUUUGAAGGUCCCCAUGUGCACAGUGGCCUCCAUCAGAACCAUUGUGACCAAGAAUCCCAAAGUCACUAUCAGAGGCUCUGUGGAGAGAGGAGACCCUUCCAGAAGGACAAUCAUCUCUGCAGCAACCCACCAGUCUGGCCUAUAUGGUAGACUGGCCAGACGAAAGCCUCUUCUUAAUAAAAGGCACAUGGAAGCCCAUCAGCAGUUUGCCAAGAGGCACCUGAAGGACUCUCAGACCAUGAGAAACGAAAUUCUCUGCUCUGAUGAGACAAAGAUAGAACUCUUUGUUUCAUCUUUGAACUCGUUGCCCCAGUCGACCUCAGAACGGUUGAUUUUUCGGCAGGACAACAACCCAAAGCACACAGCCAAGAUCUCAAAGGAGUUGCUUCAGAACCACUCUGUUAAUGUUCUGGAGUGGCCAAGCCCGAGUCCAGACUUAAAUCUGACUGAACAUCUCUGGAGAGAUCAGAACAUGGCUGCACACAGAAGUCCAGCCUGAUGGGAGCUUGGGAUGUUCUGCAAAGAAGAAUGGAUCAAACUGCCUAAAGAUAGCAGGCGGGUCCAGGAUGAUAAAAGAUCUGAAGACAAUCGGUACCACCCCCACCUUUUGGUCACAGUGGUUGAAACAGGUCGAGGAAGAAGAAUGGGCCGAUGUGUAACGUUACUGUGAGG